Molecule: ribosomal RNA, 251 nt
Filed under: uncultured prokaryote
Description: partial 16S rRNA
Rfam family: Bacterial small subunit ribosomal RNA
Source: RNAcentral
ACGUAGGUGACGAGCGUUGUUCGGAAUUAUUGGGCGUAAAGGGUUCGUAGGAGGUUUAUUAAGAUUGGUGUGAAAUCCCAAGGCUCAACCUUGGAACUGCAUUGAUUACUGAUGAACUAGAGUGUCGUAGAGGAAAGCGGAAUUCCAGGUGUAGCAGUGGAAUGGGUAGUUAUGCGGAAGAACACCGAAAGAGAAGGCAGCCAACUGGGCCUGUACUGACGCUCAUGCACGAAAGCUUUGGGAUCCGCCAG